UCAUCAGCGGAUUUCGACAAAGCAUUUGAUGUUUAACCCUCUCCUUAGCUCGUGCUUUAAGUGUCUCCAACUUCUUGUCACUUGGAUCAUGUGCUCCAUCGAAUACAACAUAGGUUUCCACACCGUUCGAAAUCAGAGCAUCGAAAAACGAAACUACAACAUCGUAAUAUUCUUGGUACUGACCACCACAUCGGCAGUCUAAGCCAUUGCUAGCGUAAAGAUAAUGGCACAGACAAGAUCCAUCGAUGACAAGUUUUGUAUUUUUAAGAUUGAUCUCUAUCCAAAGCGUUCCAAGUGAGUUGAUCUAACUUGUAAGUCCGGGAAUCCCCAUAUCUAGAUAUGAAACCGCUUUGAAAUCCCCUACCGAAUCAUAAUGUUCCAGGCGCGAUAAACUGACAAAUGAUUUCUUGGGAGGGUGGGAACCCACUGUUGUAGCCCCCUGUGUAAAUUAAUAGGAAUGAAUAUUCCUUUAACAUUUCUCUAUAGAUUUGAGAAAGACCGCGUAGAUAAUCUGUUAAAAAUGCGUGAUUCAGAAGUUUUUUUUCUUAUCUUUUGUCUUGUUAUUAACUACAUUUUGCCCCUCCCUUGAAAGAAAGAAAAAAUACCUUGAGCCAAUUUCAUUAAGUCAGUGGCUUAUUUAAAACCAGGAAGAUACGUCAAGUAAUACAACUUGAGUACCCGAUAACGUACUGAUUGAACCAGCUUUGGGCUAUCCGGGUUUUGCAUGAAAUUUCUACCUUAUCAACGACAACAAACCAACAGAUGAUAACUACAAGAUGACUGCUGAAACAGAAGGUUCAAGUGAACCGGUUAUUUUAGCCACAGCAGGUUAUGACCAUGCUAUUAAAUUCUAGCAAGCUCAUAGUGGAAUAUGUCAUCGCACUGUUCAGCAUCCAGACUCGCAAGUCAAUGCAAUGCAGAUCACACCAGACAGACAGUUAUUAGCUGCUGCAGGAUAUCAACAUAUACGCAUGUAUGACAUCAAUUCAAACAAUCCUAGUGCUGUAAGUCAUUAAGCCCACGAAGCUUGCUAUUAUUUUGAAUUUAUAAAUAUAAACCAUUUAUACCGCAGGAAAAUUGGAAGAAAACCUCGUACCACAUUUUCUUUAAGGCGUCCUUGACAUUUUUAUUUCCUUUUUGACUGAAGUAAGUCGUGAAAUCGGAAAUGCAGAUGAGUAACAUAUCCGUGGUUUAAUAAGUACUAGAUUCCAGAUAUGAUACUCACGUAAUAGACAACGAUAAAAUGAGAGAAAGAGAACGAGCGAGAGCCCCACGCUAAAGCUCAAGUAUGAAAGAACUGCUCGAGGGUAAAUGGUGAUGCAUGUGAUUAUGUCCUUAGCUAAAUACUCCGACUGAGAUAACGUCCCCGUUGAAUUCCAGAGGUUUUUUUGAGCGAGUUGUGGCCAUUUUUCGUCAAUUUUUUUUUCUAUUUUUAAGUACUUGACUUAAUUUUCCUGCAAUUAGGACAAGGUAGAAUUCCUGUUAGUCAAUUGACCAUGAUUUGAAGCGGAUUUCUGUCGAGGACUGUGAGAGAAAUUGCAUUAAGCACAGAGCUGGAAGCUAGCCAACACUUCAAGUCGCCACCUUUUCGUUCAAACAAAAUACUUUGUUAGGUAAACGCUUUGACUCCCAAAAGAAGCCAAAGAAGAAUUGUGAAUCAAAUUCUCAAUUACCUUGUCGUCAAAAUUCACUUCACAGUCAUCGCCAAAAACAACCGUUGUAACAAGGAGACAAGUGAUUCUACAAGCAACGCUGGCACCAGAUUCGUUUUUAGUUAUCACCAUUUCCUCAGAACUCCCUAUCUCCCCCCCUGCAAGGUUAAAAGGAGCAAAACUGGCCCCCCCGUCAUCAAAGAGCUAAGUUGAGAAGCGCCCCACGCCACAGCCCAUGGUACGAAUGUCUCACUUGUUACGCCAAUCGAACAAAAGCGGACAUCUCCUAGGAAAGUCGUGACCUCAGUGAAUGUUGCCUAAAGGUGUGUACACGUAAGUUAGAAACUCAACUUUCUCUAGAAUAAAACAGUUCGAUUGACAAGAUUAUGGGUAAGCUGGUGACAAAAAAAAAUGAGGUAUAACUCAAGCUACUUUCUCUGCAGUAUAUACCCAUGCAACCCAUUUUUCUUACCAAGUAGAUAUCUGAGUGAAGGAUGAUGCUUCGUACGACCAACCGUGUUUGCUCGACGGCAUUCACGAUCAGUUCUUACGUUCCGAGACUUCUACGGCUGCCUGUAGCGUUGGUAAAUAAAAAGGUUCCAUAAGAAAA
Molecule: long non-coding RNA, 2262 nt
Organism: Stylophora pistillata
Lineage: Eukaryota; Metazoa; Cnidaria; Anthozoa; Scleractinia; Pocilloporidae
Source: RefSeq, a predicted model, not a curated record